This is a non-coding RNA of Pelobates cultripes (western spadefoot toad), 97 nucleotides long. NCBI's taxonomy places the organism in Eukaryota, Metazoa, Chordata, Amphibia, Anura, Pelobatidae. The record is from the annotation of a GenBank genome assembly.
GUGUGUGUGUCUGUGUGUGUGUAUGUCAGUAUGCCUGUGUGUGUGUGUGUCAGUUAUACUGACACACACAGACAUACUGACACUCACUGACAGACAG